Molecule: ribosomal RNA, 398 nt
Filed under: uncultured bacterium
Lineage: Bacteria
Description: partial 16S ribosomal RNA
Rfam family: Bacterial small subunit ribosomal RNA
Source: RNAcentral
AAUCUUAGACAAUGGGGGCAACCCUGAUCUAGCCAUGCCGCGUGAGUGAUGAAGGNCCNNGGGUUNUNAAGCUCUUUCAGCUGNNNNNAUAAUGACGGUACCAGCAGAAGAAGCCCCGGCUAACUCCGUGCCAGCAGCCGCGGUAAUACGGAGGGGGCUAGCGUUGUUCGGAAUUACUGGGCGUAAAGCGCACGUAGGCGGAUCAGCAAGUUAGGGGUGAAAUCCCGGGGCUCAACCCCGGAACUGCCUUUAAAACUGUUGGUCUUGAGUUCGAGAGAGGUGAGUGGAAUUCCGAGUGUAGAGGUGAAAUUCGUAGAUAUUCGGAGGAACACCAGUGGCGAAGGCGGCUCACUGGCUCGAUACUGACGCUGAGGUGCGAAAGCGUGGGGAGCAAACAG